This is an RNA transcript of Ictalurus furcatus (blue catfish), 2590 nucleotides long. It is a transcript of the gene named calcium activated nucleotidase 1b, with no coding region annotated. NCBI's taxonomy places the organism in Eukaryota, Metazoa, Chordata, Actinopteri, Siluriformes, Ictaluridae. The record is from RefSeq and is a predicted model, not a curated record. The transcript has 6 exons.
GACCUGAUUCAGGAACGUGUAUGGAAAUCUGAUAAUCAAGGCAGAACACAAACAACCUUCCUUAGGCAAAUAUAGCCUUGGCAUAUGGCUCUACCUCCUAAUGACCUGAUGACUACCCGGAUCUCCAUGCGGUCCUUGCCCUCCUUGGCGUCCAUCAGUAGUGCUAGCGCUGACCCUCGCUUCCAUUUCAAAUGGAGGGCCAUCACAGUAGUAACUAUACUAGGCUUGGGCCUGUUGCUCUAUCUGCACCAAACAGCAGGGGGCUCUACAGACGAUACAAAACUCUUUCCAUCGAUGCGUCAUAGUAAUGGUGCACACCGCCUGAUUCGGGAUACGACUGCCAAUACGGAUGCCCGUUACAACCACACGUACCCUCUGAGCCCGCCGGAGCGCACAGCUAAUGGAGUCCGCUACCGCAUAGCUGUGAUCGCAGACUUGGACACAAACUCACGCAGCAUCAAGGACAAAACCUGGUUCAGCUACAUGCAGCGAGGCCACCUGCUAGUGACAGACAACGGGGAACAUGUGGAGGUAGAGUGGGACCCGGAGAAGGUGGUGCUGGAGAGCCAUUUAUCAGAAAAAGGGCGUGGGAUGGAGCUGUCCGACCUGGUGGUGUUUAACGGACAUCUGUACAGCGUAGACGAUCGAACAGGCGUGGUGUAUCGCAUUGAAGACAACCGGGCUGUACCAUGGGUCAUCCUGCCUGAUGGAGAUGGCAGCGUUUCCAAAGGUUUUAAGGCUGAGUGGCUGGCAGUGAAGGACGAGCACCUGUACGUGGGUGGGCUGGGGAAGGAGUGGACGACCACCACGGGCGAAUUCGUCAACAACGACCCCCAGUGGGUGAAAGUCAUCGGCUUCCAGGGCGACGUGCACCACGAGAACUGGGUGCCCCAUUACAUCGCAAUGAGGGGCGCAGCAGGCAUCAAACCACCUGGUUAUUUGAUACACGAGUCGGCGGUGUGGAGCGAGCGUCGACAGCGCUGGUUCUUCCUCCCACGCCGCGCCAGCUCUGAACGCUACGAGGAAACAGCUGACGAGCGCCGUGCCACCAACCUGCUCCUGACCUGCACGGCCGAUUUCAGCCACGUCUCAGUGACCCGGGUCGGGCGGCUGCUCCCCACACACGGCUUCUCAGCCUUCAGGUUCAUUCCCAACACCCAUGACCACGUGGUCCUCGCACUGAAGUCUGAGGAGGACGCAGGCAAAAUCGCCACCUACAUCACAGCCUUCACGCUGGACGGACGGGUCCUGCUGCCCGAGACAAAGAUCGGAGAUGUGAAAUACGAAGGGCUGGAGUUCAUCUAGUUUGGUAGAAGAGAGUGGAUUUCUCACAUGGGAGUCACUGGGUAUGUGACCAUGUGUGUAAUGUCAGUGCAAUGUCGUAGAUGUAAAAUGUCAUAAAAGGAUCAGUUUCUCUUUAUGAUAUUUCUGUAUGCAGUGGUGAUAAUGUACACUGCAUGUAUUCAUGUCCCCAUGGAGACCCACCAGUGGACACAGUGGAUAACUGUUCUCUCAUGACGAGGGAGAUCAAUGACGUCAAACAAAACACAAAGACACAGCUACAUGAAAAUUGUAGUAUUUCUGUUUAGAAAAAUAUGUAUAUUGCCAUAUGGGACCAUAAAGGACGAUAAAGGAUCCACAUUACCAAACGUGAACAUGGAAAUGUUCUAGGGCCAGGAUAAGAAGAGGAUUGCACUGGAUAUUCCUGUAGAAAACAGUGGGGAUAAGUUAGACCAUAAUGCAGGAAGGGAGGAUAAGUCAGAACAGGAGACAGGAGUAGGUGCUUGGCGAAAUGGUCAAAAAAGCUGUAAAUUCCUACCUCUAAUUAAAAUAUAACUUGUAUUUCAAUGAGAGGGUUGGAUUUAGUUUGAAAGAAUGUAAGCAUUCUUUCAAAAUAAUUCAAAAUCCCCUGCUUGCUCGGAGUAAUGUAAAACCAAUACCACUGUUUCAACAGUGACAAAUAAUCAAAUGUUCAAUAGACAUAUUUUCAUUGUUGUGUGGUGUGCCCAUAUUCUAAAAUACCACCGAAAAUCCAUCCAUUUUCCAUCCCAGGUAACCUACACAGGGUUGCGGGGGAGCCUGGCGCCUAUCCAAGGGAACUCGGAGCUCAGGGUGAGGGAUACCAACAGAUCGCAGGGCACAAUCGCGAACACUACAGACAGUUUGGAAAUGCCGAUCAGCCUAUAGUGCAUGUCUUCGGACUGGGGGAGGAAACAGGAGUACCUGGAAGAAACCCCUCAGGCGAGAACAUGCAAACUCCAUGCACACAGUGCAGAGGCGGGAUUCAAACCCCCCAACCUAAAAGGCACGAGGCAAACGUGCUAACCACUACCACAGAAAAUAAAAUGAUCACAUAGCAAUAGCGCAACAGAACCUUUUCUCAUGAGAGUAUCUUAGUGUGUGCAGUAGAGGUUUAAAAAUUGCCCCCAAGGGCAAUCAAAGUUUUAUCACAUAAAGAAGUAAUGAUAAAAAUAAACAUCAUAUGACCAUAUAUAAAGUUUAUGAACAUAUUUGCAAUGUCAAUGUAAAACUUUUAUUUUUGUCAUUUCUUAUUGUUUAACAAUAAAAGCGCUGUGUGGGCUUAAAUCAA